UAAAAAAAUAUGUACCAUCUUAUACUACAUAUGACCGUUUUAAAGGGGAAAAAUAUCUUAUUUUUCUUUAUAAUCAUUUAUGAAUAUUGUUAAUCCUUGCAGCUCAAAGACAAAUUGGAGAAACGUCGCUUAAUGAAAUGAGCUCGAGAUCCCACCAUAUUAUUAGAUUGACUAUUGAAAGCUGUUCUCGUGACUUUUUAGGAACGGACAAUGCGAGCACUCUUACAGCUGCUGUGGUAUGGAAUUUAUCUAAUAACAAAAAAAUAAUUGUAUAACAUUAUUUAAUGUUUUUUAAUCGGAAAUUAAUUUUAUCGACAGAAUUUUGUCGAUUUGGCUGGAAGUGAACGAGCAUCUCAAUCGUUAUCAGCUGGCACAAGGUUAAAAGAAGGCUGUCAUAUUAACCGUAGUUUGCUUACACUUGGAACUAUUAUUCGUAAGCUGAGGUAAAGAUCACAUUUUUAUCAAUAUAUCGUAUUCUUUUUUUACGGAUUUAAUUAAAAUAAACGAACCCCAGUUCAGAUUUAGUUUUU
Molecule: non-coding RNA, 530 nt
Organism: Erythranthe guttata (spotted monkey flower)
Lineage: Eukaryota; Viridiplantae; Streptophyta; Magnoliopsida; Lamiales; Phrymaceae
Source: RefSeq, a predicted model, not a curated record